RNAcentral lists this ribosomal RNA (806 nucleotides) under Pseudomonas protegens. RNAcentral describes it as "bacterial SSU rRNA". It matches the Rfam family "Bacterial small subunit ribosomal RNA", at positions 88 to 890 of the family's 1533-position model. Lineage: Bacteria; Pseudomonadati; Pseudomonadota; Gammaproteobacteria; Pseudomonadales; Pseudomonadaceae. The record is from RNAcentral.
GUGGCGAGCGGCGGACGGGUGAGUAAUGCCUAGGAAUCUGCCUAGUAGUGGGGGAUAACGUCCGGAAACGGGCGCUAAUACCGCAUACGUCCUACGGGAGAAAGUGGGGGAUCUUCGGACCUCACGCUAUUAGAUGAGCCUAGGUCGGAUUAGCUAGUUGGUGAGGUAAUGGCUCACCAAGGCGACGAUCCGUAACUGGUCUGAGAGGAUGAUCAGUCACACUGGAACUGAGACACGGUCCAGACUCCUACGGGAGGCAGCAGUGGGGAAUAUUGGACAAUGGGCGAAAGCCUGAUCCAGCCAUGCCGCGUGUGUGAAGAAGGUCUUCGGAUUGUAAAGCACUUUAAGUUGGGAGGAAGGGCAGUUACCUAAUACGUGAUUGUUUUGACGUUACCGACAGAAUAAGCACCGGCUAACUCUGUGCCAGCAGCCGCGGUAAUACAGAGGGUGCAAGCGUUAAUCGGAAUUACUGGGCGUAAAGCGCGCGUAGGUGGUUUGUUAAGUUGGAUGUGAAAGCCCCGGGCUCAACCUGGGAACUGCAUCCAAAACUGGCAAGCUAGAGUAUGGUAGAGGGUGGUGGAAUUUCCUGUGUAGCGGUGAAAUGCGUAGAUAUAGGAAGGAACACCAGUGGCGAANGCGACCACCUGGACUGAUACUGACACUGANGUGCGAAAGCGUGGGGAGCAAACAGGAUUAGAUACCCUGGUAGUCCACGCCGUAAACGAUGUCAACUAGCCGUUGGGAGCCUUGAGCUCUUAGUGGCGCAGCUAACGCAUUAAGUUGACCGCCUGGGGAGUACGGCCGCA